ACUGUUUCCAUUUUUGUUGGAAUUUGCAUUGCUUUAUUUGACCACUUAAUGGACUAUUUGUAAAUGUUUAUUCGCUUGUGAUUAUAGACUAGUUUGACGGCAGAUUGGAGGAAAUGAAGGAUUUCUAAAAGGUGAUAUUUGGAAGUUAAUUUAGGGAGGCUACUGCGGUGAAGGGCUGUAGCCUAGGACUUGGCCCAGCCAUGAUGUACAUGUAGUUUCAACACACUUUAUACCUGUGUUUAAGUUACAUGAGGAAGUUAUUAAGAGAAGAUGAUGGAGCAAGGAGUGACCAAUGAUUGGGCAGCAUUAGUGGAGAGCACAGAACCUGAGUUUGGGUGUGACCUACUAUGAUGCGUUGUGCUGGGUAUGGCCGUGGAAUAAGGCUGGGAAGCCCUUUGUUCUCUAUGCGGUCCCGGGCAUGGCUACCAACCGCAUCCCCGGACGACUCUACUGACCGAUGGCUCAGCAGGGCCCACAGGGCGACGGUUCGCCAUCUGCCCCGGGUCCCUCACCAGCUACUGCUCGCUGAGUAGCACCCGCUCGGAAGUCAACUCCCUCGAAGCGGGCAAUGGGUUCCACCGCGGGUUCACUGCGCUCCACCGCUUCUGCCACGGAUGAGUCAGCUAGCCAGCAUAAUGCUCAGCCUUUCCGGACUGCUUCACCGUCGGGGCUUCCGUCCACCACACCUCAUCCGCACUUUUGGCCUGCAGAUGGAUUCUGGUCAUGAGGCCAUCAAUCCUGACUUUGGAUCAAUGCUCCUCCCAGGAGAUGACCGACCACUCGGGGGAUCCCUGCCCGCUUUUUCCUCCAACUGUUCCGGCCCCCAGUUCCCCUGCACCGGCGAAAACUAAGAAGCGCAAGGCCAAGUCAUCUUCCUCGGCCUCUUCUUCAUCCAAGGUUGAGAAGAGACGCCACUCCCGAUUCGGAUCCUUCCCAUGGAUGGCGACCCUCCAGUCUCUCACAGAGGCUGUCAGCUCUCUCGCUCGCAAGAUGGACUCUAAACCUCAGCCGGUCGCGACAGCACCAGACCCGGAGCCCACCCGGCCGUCCCUCCUCCCUCACACGGGGCCCUCUCCGAGACCGAUGCGAGUUUUAUUCUUCAACCAGAACCGUCCCCUCAUCCAGUUGCAGUGUCAGAAUGGUUGCUCGUUAUGCUCGGAACACGGGUCAGCUUGUCCCGCCGGUCUUCAGCCUGUCUCCUCGGAGGAUAAUGACAUCGACUCGGUGGCUGGUCUGACCCAGCCGGAAAGUCACCCGCGCCUUCUCCAACGGGACAUGAUCCACAUCCUUGGACCCUACAAAGCCUGAACAGGGACACUCUUCGUUCAAAUGCCACCCUUCACGCCUUGAGUUGGCUGAACCCAUCUUCCUGGAAUUUCCUUUAGACCAUUCUUGUGUGGAGAUGAUGAACACCCUCGCAAAGGUUAGACGCUUGGCCACAGCUCCUCCCAGGGCCCUGUCCUACUACUGUUUUCCUCUAGAGGAUGUCUCUCGCUUCUUGUCGUCCCUGAUGCUGCGAUAGACAAGAUCUCGUGUGAUUCUGGCAAGCGCAAUAUUUUUCGGGAUAAGGACAAGGCCAACCUUGAAACAGUUCUCUGCCGCGUGGACUCAGCGUUUUGAUUCGGCCUCCGGUGUUCAGCCUUCCUCCUCCUUCUUUUGGAGUAUAUUGCCUAGGCUUGUGAAGAGGACUCUCCGGUCUCCCCAGACUUUGCAGCCCUAGCUCUGCAAGGGCUCGACGAGGGACUCAACUCGAUUUUUGAGCAAUUUAUCUGUGUCUCCCUUCUUGCCACUUCUAACCGCAGAGCCAACGCGGUGGAUGCCAUAAACAUCCCCUACGAAUCUGUCAAAGCAAACUCAUGGAUCUCCUGCUCCUUGGGAACGAUCUUUUCGCCGGGAAGUUCACCGAGGUCCUUGAGUCAGAGGUGAAGUGUAUGGAGACUGCCAAGAAGAUCUCAAGAAGAGCCUACAGCUCACUCCAGCUGACAGCCCAACUGCCACCGAGAUGACGAGUGGAUGCACCCCAGUCUACAGGCCCCAGUCGGGCCCCGGGUGAGCCCUGCCCACAACCGCUUUCAGAAGACCUCAGCCACGCCUCGCCGGCCGUGGGUUUUCUGGCCGUGCCCCUGGUCCCUCCAGGGGACGGUGCUGGUGACUACUUCCAUUCGUCUUCGGCGGCCGCCAAUUCCAACCCGUUGGCGACCACCUGGGCAACUUCAUCAGGUUCUGGGGGAGAUCACCGCAGACAGCUGGGUCCUCCCCAUCAUUGCCUACGACUACUCCCUUGAGUUCACGAGUCCCCCGCUGUCCGGGUCUUCCGUUCCAUUCCUCCCCCAUGCGACAAAUCCAAGUGCCUGGCUCUGGAGGAGGAGAUCUCAACGAUGUUACGCAAAGGUGCCAUAACACCGGUACAUCCAAACCAGUAAUCCACUGGUUUCCUUUCGUCCUUUUUCCUGACACUCAAGAAAGAACCGGGAAAAUGGCAACCGAUAAUCAAUCUGAAACCGCUCAAUCAAACAAGUUCAUCAAGCCAAGGCGGUUUCGAAUGGAGACACUGAGCGUGGUCCUGUGCUCCUUACCAGUCCUGUGCUGGGCCACAUCCAUAGAUCUGCGGGACGCGUAUCUCCAUAUCCCAAUACACGAACAGUUUUGCAAGUUCCUCCGCUUCAAGUACUCCGGCCAAACCUACCAGUUUCGGGCCCUUCCCUUCGGCCUCUCGACCUCACCUAGGGUCUUUACCAGGAUCACCUAGACUGUCGCCACCUACCUACGACGGCACAACGUCCUCAUUUUUCAAUACCUGGACAACUGGCUGAUCGUCGGUCACUCCCCCGACGAGGCCAGAGCCUGCACCUCUCUCACCCUCGAUGUCACGACUUGCCUGGAGUUCCUCGUCAACCAAGACAAGUCUGGCCUUGACCCAGCACAGCGGCUGACCUACCUUGGGGCGAUCCUCGACCUUCACAGAGGCAUCGUGACCCCAACACCGGAAUGCAUCCUGAACCUACAACAAUGCGUCGUUCAGUUUUUGUGAUCCAAAGCACCUCCCGCGCUGGCCUGGCUCCGUCUUCUCGGACUAAUGGCGAGUUUGGUCGACCUCGUCCCAUGGUGUCGACUUCAACUACAUCUCCUGUCUCGGUCCUGCCCCAAGAGCGACCUGAUUUCUACCUCAGUCCCUCUCCCACUGGAGGUUCACAAUCACCUCCGGUGGUGGACCGUCAAUGAGCACCUGUCGACCGGUCGUCCUUUCGUUCCCUCCAGACCGAACAUCACAAUGGCAAUGGACGCGUCGCUAUUCUGAUGGGGGGCCUCCCUUCCUCCAUUUCACACAUCUGUGGUUUGGGACUCUUCCUUCCGCAACAAACACAUCAACCUGCUGGAACUUCAGACAAUAUUCAAUGCCCUUCGUCUCUUCCAGCGGCACUUAGUGGGUCUCUUGGUUCAAAUCCACAGCGACAACUCCACAGUGGUAGUGCAUCAACCACCAAGGCGGUACUCGCUCCCCCCAGCUUUGCGUGUUUACAUGGCAGAUCUUCAUGUGGGCAAUCGAUCAUGGAAUCUCUCUCCAGGCAGCUCACAUAGCAGGAACAGCCAACAGCAUAGCAGACGCUCUCUCCCGAGGCACUGUCCGUCCGACUGAGUGGACUCUUCAUCCGAGCGUGGUCAGGCAGAUCUUCGAGGAGAUCGAACGUCCCCAUGUUGACCUCUUCGCAUCAGCCGACAAUACUCAUCUUCCGACAUUCUGCUCCAGGUUUCCUCACCCACGAGCCUGGGCGACGGACGCUCUACAAGUGGACUGGUCCGGCCUUCUGUCCAAUGAUCAUUCAGAGCAUCAGGCCUUUCUGCAGACGCUGCAUCCAUGGCAGCAUGGGGCCAAUGACCGUCCACACGCAGAACUUACAACAGUCGACUACAACAUUUUAAUAGAUGUGUAACGACCACUAUGUUUUUCCAAAUGAAGCUUCUGUGAGCUGAGUUGCACACUUUUUCAUGUAUCUCUUUCAGUCGGCCUCCAGAAUGCCACCAUCUGCAACGACCGGCCGGCUGUCCAUUCAGGGUUCAGCGACGGGUCAACGAUUUCUGAUAACGCCGCCAUCCACCAUCUCCUUUGGGAAAUGUUUGUCGAGCGUCCUCACAUGAAACGCCUCGUUCUGUCUUGUGAUCUUGGGAGCAUCUUGCGUGUUCUCGCCUGUCCACCCUGCGAGCCGCUUUUGUGCAUCUGACCUCCAUCUCAGCAUCAAACUGGCGUUCCUCCUGGCCGUCGUUACUUCCAGAUGCGGCAGCAAAGUGCAUGCUCUGUCAACUGCUGAAGGUCACAUAGUUGGGAACCGCAUGGAGUUGCCUUAUCCCAGCCAUUGAGUUCCUGACAAAGUACCAGACACCUACGUUCCAGCCUCCAAACAUAUUUAUCCUCGAUAUAACGUCUCUUUCGGGAGAUGACUGACAAAAAAUGGUGACCAGUUCGUACUCUUAAGUGGUACCUCGCCAGGACCAAGCAUCGUCGUGAACCUGGUUCCAGACUCUUCAUCACUACCACAAAAGCCCUUUCAUCCAGCGGCGAAAGACGCUAUUGCUCGGUGACAACCUCGGCCAUUAUCUGCGCGAACCAAGACUGGCCGACUCGGCAUGACAAGAAGACUCGUUCUCUUAUCAGAGCCCAUGAUGUUCAUGCCUCCUCCACGGCCUGGUCAUAAUUCAGAGGCAUUUCCUUGGCGGAUAUAUGCCAGGCGGCUUGCUGGAAAUCCCCCUCCACCUUCACCGAGUGCUACCUGAAGGAUUUUCUGAGGAGCGAGACAGCUCACGGCGCAGCAACUAGCGCCGUUCCACACCGAACAAUGAACUCCUCAUUGUAGAUACCUUUUCCUCUGAAGCGGGCUCAAGAGAGAUCAAGGUCCAUUGAGGACCCAAGUGACAGCCACUCUGACAGUAAUAUGGAGCAAGAACAGUGGAUGGAGAAAACAGCAGAUUUGGGAAGGCCUCCUUGCCAGGUGAAUGUACUGCCAUGGCUGCCUACAUGAACGUUAAAGCUGGCUGGCGUCAUGGUGCGAGUGGACAGACCGAUGUAAUCUCUAUAAAGUGAAGAGACAGGUUAUGUCAUAAGUAGCACAGACUUCCUCAUAUGAAAGCUGUGGGUAUGCCCCAGGAGAAGCAGACCAUGAUGCUGAUGAGAAGAGCGCCCUCGCUUCCUUCAAACUGGAGAGAAAUCGAAGGAAGAUGGAGGACAAGAUCCGAUGGGUCUUCACUUCAUGAGAAUGUCAAGGAGAGGAAGUAACUCAGAUAGA
Long non-coding RNA from Acanthaster planci (crown-of-thorns starfish), 5279 nucleotides. The record is from RefSeq and is a predicted model, not a curated record. Lineage: Eukaryota; Metazoa; Echinodermata; Asteroidea; Valvatida; Acanthasteridae.